This 920-nucleotide ribosomal RNA is filed under the name uncultured Bacillota bacterium. Its description in RNAcentral is "bacterial SSU rRNA". It matches the Rfam family "Bacterial small subunit ribosomal RNA", at positions 31 to 917 of the family's 1533-position model. The record is from RNAcentral. Lineage: Bacteria; Bacillati; Bacillota.
GAAAGCUGGCGGCGUGCCUAAUACAUGCAAGUCGAACGAAACUUCUUUAUCACCGAGUGCUUGCACUCACCGAUAAAGAGUUGAGUGGCGAACGGGUGAGUAACACGUGGGCAACCUGCCCAAAAGAGGGGGAUAACACUUGGAAACAGGUGCUAAUACCGCAUAACCAUAGUUACCGCAUGGUAACUAUGUAAAAGGUGGCUAUGCUACCGCUUUUGGAUGGGCCCGCGGCGCAUUAGCUAGUUGGUGGGGUAAAGGCUUACCAAGGCAAUGAUGCGUAGCCGAACUGAGAGGUUGAUCGGCCACAUUGGGACUGAGACACGGCCCAAACUCCUACGGGAGGCAGCAGUAGGGAAUCUUCCACAAUGGGCGAAAGCCUGAUGGAGCAACGCCGCGUGGGUGAAGAAGGUCUUCGGAUCGUAAAACCCUGUUGUUAGAGAAGAAAGUGCGUGAGAGUAACUGUUCACGUUUCGACGGUAUCUAACCAGAAAGCCACGGCUAACUACGUGCCAGCAGCCGCGGUAACACGUAGGUGGCAAGCGUUAUCCGGAUUUAUUGGGCGUAAAGGGAACGCAGGCGGUCUUUUAAGUCUGAUGUGAAAGCCUUCGGCUUAACCGGAGUAGUGCAUUGGAAACUGGGAGACUUGAGUGCAGAAGAGGAGAGUGGAACUCCAUGUGUAGCGGUGAAAUGCGUAGAUAUAUGGAAGAACACCAGUGGCGAAAGCGGCUCUCUGGUCUGUAACUGACGCUGAGGUUCGAAAGCGUGGGUAGCAAACAGGAUUAGAUACCCUGGUAGUCCACGCCGUAAACGAUGAAUGCUAAGUGUUGGAGGGUUUCCGCCCUUCAGUGCUGCAGCUAACGCAAUAAGCAUUCCGCCUGGGGAGUACGACCGCAAGGUUGCAACUCAAAGGAAUUGACGGA